RNAcentral lists this ribosomal RNA (468 nucleotides) under uncultured bacterium. RNAcentral's name for it is "partial 16S ribosomal RNA". It matches the Rfam family "Bacterial small subunit ribosomal RNA", at positions 28 to 507 of the family's 1533-position model. The record is from RNAcentral.
GACGAACGCUGGCGGCGUGCUUAACACAUGCAAGUCGAACGGAAAGGCCCUGCUUUUGUGGGGUGCUCGAGUGGCGAACGGGUGAGUAACACGUGAGUAACCUGCCCUUGACUUUGGGAUAACUUCAGGAAACUGGGGCUAAUACCGGAUAGGAGCUCCUGCUGCAUGGUGGGGGUUGGAAAGUUUCGGCGGUUGGGGUUGGACUCGCGGCUUAUCAGCUUGUUGGUGGGGUAGUGGCUUACCAAGGCUUUGACGGGUAGCCGGCCUGGGAGGGUGACCGGCCACCUGGGGCCUGCGAUAGGGCCCAGACUCGUACGGGAGGCAGCAGUGGGGAAUCUUGCACAGUGGGCGGAAGCCUGAUGCGGCAGCGCCGCGUGCGGGAUGACGGCCUUCGGGUUGUAAACCGCUUUCGCCUGUGACGAAGCGGGAGUGACGGUAAUGGGUAAAGAAGCACCGGCUAACUACGUG